Molecule: ribosomal RNA, 495 nt
Filed under: uncultured bacterium
Lineage: Bacteria
Description: partial 16S ribosomal RNA
Rfam family: Bacterial small subunit ribosomal RNA
Source: RNAcentral
GAUGAACGCUGGCGGCGUGCCUAAUACAUGCAAGUCGAGCGAACAGACGAGGAGCUUGCUCCUCUGACGUUAGCGGCGGACGGGUGAGUAACACGUGGAUAACCUACCUAUAAGACUGGGAUAACUUCGGGAAACCGGAGCUAAUACCGGAUAAUAUAUUGAACCGCAUGGUUCAAUAGUGAAAGACGGUUUUGCUGUCACUUAUAGAUGGAUCCGCGCCGCAUUAGCUAGUUGGUAAGGUAACGGCUUACCAAGGCAACGAUGCGUAGCCGACCUGAGAGGGUGAUCGGCCACACUGGAACUGAGACACGGUCCAGACUCCUACGGGAGGCAGCAGUAGGGAAUCUUCCGCAAUGGGCGAAAGCUUGACGGAGCAACGCCGCGUGAGUGAUGAAGGUCUUCGGAUCGUAAAACUCUGUUAUUAGGGAAGAACAAAUGUGUAAGUAACUAUGCACGUCUUGACGGUACCUAAUCAGAAAGCCACGGCGAACUACG